This 102-nucleotide non-coding RNA is filed under the name Bacillus sp. (in: firmicutes). RNAcentral's name for it is "Bacillus sp. Guanine sequence". It matches the Rfam family "Purine riboswitch aptamer". Rfam says of the family: Riboswitches are metabolite binding domains within certain messenger RNAs that serve as precision sensors for their corresponding targets. Allosteric rearrangement of mRNA structure is mediated by ligand binding, and this results in modulation of gene expression. Lineage: Bacteria; Bacillati; Bacillota; Bacilli; Caryophanales; Bacillaceae. RNAcentral also lists the same sequence under 1 other name. The record is from RNAcentral.
UCAUAAUUUAAUAUGCACCUUCAUAUAUCCUCGAUAAUACGGUUCGAAAGUCUCUACCAGGUCACCUUAAAUGACUUGACUAUGAAGGCAGGUCAUUCUAUA